This 90-nucleotide transfer RNA is filed under the name Burkholderiaceae bacterium. RNAcentral's name for it is "tRNA-Arg". The record is from RNAcentral. Lineage: Bacteria; Pseudomonadati; Pseudomonadota; Betaproteobacteria; Burkholderiales; Burkholderiaceae.
CGAGUUCCUGGGCGCGGGCCCAGUCCUCACCUUCGCCGCGGGUCAGCGCGAACAACUGAGUGGCCAGGAGUUCGAAGCCCUUGGUGUCGC